This is a small nucleolar RNA of Mastomys coucha (southern multimammate mouse), 130 nucleotides long. RefSeq annotates it as small nucleolar RNA SNORA17. The transcript has a single exon. Lineage: Eukaryota; Metazoa; Chordata; Mammalia; Rodentia; Muridae. The record is from RefSeq and is a predicted model, not a curated record.
CCUACCCCUAGAGGCAUUGCUGGUGUGGCUGCUGUGUCACAUGUGUAUCAGUAGGUGGCAGAGAGAAGAGGCUAUAUUUAUGCUCAGUGUUCUGACCUAUAAACAUUGGAAUAAUUAGUGGUCUAGCAUU